AAUAAAUAUUGAGUAAACCAGUUCUUCCUCUGUUUUAAUUCCUUCUAAACUUUCCUAGGAAGUUGAAAUUCAAGACAUAAUUCUGAAAGAUUAAAUUGUUUUGGUGAUACCAAGAGUACCUUGUAGGUAUAAUCAAAGUAUCCUGCUUAUUUUAAUGAUCAGAAGCAACAGAACAUUCCCAUCACAAACGGAACAAUCACUUACUGCUGUAAGUAAUAUAAUACUGGAACUCAAUACGCAGAAGCAGUUUGCAUGCCACUCACCCACUCCCAUUCAACAAAGUGAUAUAUUUUCAAAUUUACUCUGUAAUGCAGUGUUACUCAUUAAUUUAAUCAGCUGCUAUUCUUCAUGGUUAUAAAUUCAAAACUAUACAGAAAUCAAUUCUGAAUGACAACCAGCUUUUCAC
This 406-nucleotide long non-coding RNA is filed under the name Homo sapiens (human). RNAcentral's name for it is "HSALNT0044438". The record is from RNAcentral. Lineage: Eukaryota; Metazoa; Chordata; Mammalia; Primates; Hominidae.